RNAcentral lists this non-coding RNA (27 nucleotides) under Homo sapiens (human). Lineage: Eukaryota; Metazoa; Chordata; Mammalia; Primates; Hominidae. The record is from RNAcentral.
UGGGUCCACAUUGCCUUUAUGAGCUGU